GAUGCCUACGGGACGCAGCAGUAGGGAAUUUUCGUCAAUGGGGGAAACCCUGAACCAGCAACGCCGCGUGAGGGAAGACGGUUUUCGGAUUGUAAACCUCUGUCCUCUGUGAAGAUGAUGACGGUAGCAGAGGAGGAAGCUCCGGCUAACUACGUGCCAGCAGCCGCGGUAAUACGUAGGGAGCGAGCGUUGUCCGGAUUUACUGGGUGUAAAGGGUGCGUAGGCGGCUUGGCAAGUCAGUAGUGAAAUCCAUGGGCUUAACCCAUGAACUGCUAUUGAAACUGUCGAGCUUGAGUGAAGUAGAG
Molecule: ribosomal RNA, 305 nt
Filed under: uncultured bacterium
Lineage: Bacteria
Description: bacterial SSU rRNA
Rfam family: Bacterial small subunit ribosomal RNA
Source: RNAcentral